UGUGGGAGCGAGCUUGCUCGCGAUGGCGGUGUGUCAGUCACCUCGAUGUUGGCAGUGAUGGCCUCAUCGCGAGCAAGCUCGCUCCCACA
This 89-nucleotide unclassified non-coding RNA is filed under the name Pseudomonas prosekii. The record is from RNAcentral. Lineage: Bacteria; Pseudomonadati; Pseudomonadota; Gammaproteobacteria; Pseudomonadales; Pseudomonadaceae.